RNAcentral lists this ribosomal RNA (672 nucleotides) under Triticum aestivum (bread wheat). RNAcentral's name for it is "partial small subunit ribosomal RNA". Lineage: Eukaryota; Viridiplantae; Streptophyta; Magnoliopsida; Poales; Poaceae. The record is from RNAcentral.
AUGGCUUGUCCUUUUUGCCGUAUGCCUGGUGGCCCGUGUUCUUCUGUUGAUUCUUCUGUAGAUGGGUUCAGUGUGGUCCUGGAUCGGCGUUGUUGGAGGCGCGUUUAUGUUCCGUGCAGUGUUAGAGCUCAUCUUGCUUGUUACAUCGAGGAGUGUAGGGCUUUAGCCAUAAGGAGGGGUGACGAAGAUACUGAUCAGGAUCUUCAGUGCACUGAGGGUUAUUUGUAUGGUGUUCUGUUUAGUCAUGGCCGUGUGAGGAGCAAAUUCCAUGGUCCUUCCUGGGAACGAUUGGUCAGUGAUUAUGGUGUUCGUCCUCGUGAUAUAAUGACCAUUAGGCUUGAACAUUAUGGAACUUGGAUUGGUACUGAUUUUUAUCGUGUUGGUCGUGGAGAUGCGUUGUCUCCUUUACCGUCUGUUGCUCUACAUGGUUUGAGCGACUAUGAGAAGGAGCUUGUUGGGAGUUGUUAUUACACCUGUGGUGUUUUUCUUAAUUAUCAGCAGAUGUAUUUCAUGAGGUGUCAACUAUUUGAUGAUGACUACAUACCCUGUUGUCCUUUUGUUCAUAGGAUUGAUUCCAUGAAUGUUAAUGGUCAUCAUAUGGUCAGAUUUUUUUCCCAUUGUUUUUUUUGUUUUUGUUUAUUUAUUUAUUUUUAUUACGUCUUCUAUUUAUAG